RNAcentral lists this long non-coding RNA (1880 nucleotides) under Solanum tuberosum (potato). RNAcentral's name for it is "long non-coding RNA (STUB_LNC009469)". Lineage: Eukaryota; Viridiplantae; Streptophyta; Magnoliopsida; Solanales; Solanaceae. The record is from RNAcentral.
CUCCUCACUUACUGUUACGGUAUAAAUUGGACCUUUUUAAGUCCAAAAGUUCCCAAUUUUAGUCCUUUUGGGACUGCUUCUACUGCUGCAAUAAUCAAAUUGGAUUCUUAAAUCCAAAAUUCAAUUUUCGGCCAUUUGGAAUUGUUGUUACUCCGCUACUUAGCUGCUGCCACUGAUUUGGGUUUUAACCCAUUAAUAUUAGCUUCCCCUUUAUAACUUUGGCGGAGGUCGACUCAAAGAAAGGAAGAUGCAAGAGAGGGGAGUCCAAUUGGACUCAUUCGGAGGGAGUUCCUGCAAAGUAGAGAAAAGGAAGAAGAAUUAGCACAUGUAGCGAGAAAAUGACACUUCAGUUUUAAACAUUCAAACACAAGGAUGAAAUUAACCAAAUAAAACUAUCGUGAACAAAGGGGGAAAAGAAACAGAUCCGAAGCUAUUGCUAAGUUCAUAAAUCCACAAAAUGAUUAAUUAGUCACUGGACCUUUUGAUCUAUACAACCAGCAAAAGGCAUACUUACAAUGGCCAAAAUUGUACUAAACAUGCAAACGUAAUCAGCCAUCAGUUAAAUAAAAGAAAAGAUAGUAGCGUUCCGAUUUUAGCUUAGACUUCAUAUAUCAUUGACUAGUGACUUCUUUCACCAAAAACAAGCUCAACGUACAUAUCUAUAACAAAACUACAAAAGCAGACCCCAAAAGCAGAGCCUUCAGGCAACAACUUCUUUUGAAAUCGAAAAACAAAACACCACUUUAUAUAAUUAAGACGAUAAAAAAAAGAAUUCCAGAUUUGAACCAAUGAAAAUCGAACAUAGUCUAACAGAAGGAGUACAACUAUAUUCAGAAAAAUGAGAACUGGACAGAUUUUAAAACAAAGAAAACUAAUUAAAUAUCUCAAACUCAAACCAAUCUUUAAAGCAGGGGAUUUAAAAAAGAUUGCUAAAGCAAAAGACUACUACAAGAAGCUUUACCAGGAGACAAGCAGAGAACAUUCAAUACUAAAUAACACGUCUCAAAUAAUCAGUUUAAGGCACAAAAUAGAAAGAAAUUGCUAAAUGAGCUCACAUUUAAAAAUCAAAACGACACCAACAUCUAUUUUGAGAAACAAAGAAACCUUGAAAUAAUCCGCAUGAUACAGAGGAAUUAAAAGGAGACUUAACCAUCCAAACUAAAAAAUAAAUAAAAAAUGUCUAGCAUAAGACAAACAAGAAGCUUCUCAUCCAUUUCCGAUACAACUAAGAAAAACUAAAACUAUUAAGAGCGAAUUUGCGGGUAUUUAAGAAACUAUUAAGACAAGAAAUAAAAUACUAAGACCUUAGUUUUAAAUCUAAUUAACCAAUUUACAUAUUCAAGUUUUCAAAUCAGUGAACUGUUAGCCAUAACACAUAACAAAAAUUAGCAUCUACAAUAGAAAUUAACAUAUAGAGUAGAAACUAUACCAAGCAAGAAUAAAUAGUCUAGAACAGAAAACUUAACAACAUAAAAAUAAAGAAACUUAUGAGACUAAACCCACAUAAAACAACAAAGAAAUCAUACUAUCCAAAUGCUCGAACCAACUUAAGGAGAGAAAAGAAUUUACCUUUUGCCGAGCAGGAACCAAGACGACGAGCUCGAGAAUGACACCACCUUCAACUCUGUUGGUAAAUUUUAGUAGUAUGAGUUUUAGAAAGCAGAGAAGUCAAGAAGAAUAUUGGUAGAAGAACAUUUUUAUUGAUGUCUUCAGAUUUCAUUUAUAAGACUGGAAUGAAAAACAGAAAGCAGUAAACCCACUACUAGCAUAUUCCUAACUCACUAACUUACUCCUAAAUGAUAGGAAUAAAUGGCUAACAACUAAUUGACUAAGUCUUAUCUAAUAUAAUGCAGUAAAAGUAAAAGUGCAGUUGAAAAAGC